RNAcentral lists this ribosomal RNA (241 nucleotides) under uncultured bacterium. Its description in RNAcentral is "partial 16S ribosomal RNA". It matches the Rfam family "Bacterial small subunit ribosomal RNA", at positions 524 to 764 of the family's 1533-position model. The record is from RNAcentral.
UACGAAGGGGGCUAGCGUUGCUCGGAAUUACUGGGCGUAAAGCGCACGUAGGCGGCUUCUUAAGUCGGUGGUGAAAUCCUGGAGCUCAACUCCAGAACUGCCUUCGAUACUGGGAAGCUCGAGUCCGGGAGAGGUGAGUGGAACUGCGAGUGUAGAGGUGAAAUUCGUAGAUAUUCGCAAGAACACCAGUGGCGAAGGCGGCUACCUGGACCGGUUCUGACGCUGAGGCGCGAAAGCGUGG